CACCACAGUACUAAUUUUAAACGAGUUUUUUUUUUUACAGAAGUAUGGCGCAAAGAAAUGGUGCAAGAGGAUUGGAAGAAUAAACUUAUUAUAAAGUUCGCAAAGAAAGGAGACCUGACAAGUUGCAGCAACUGGAGAGGGAUCACAUUGCUAUCAGUGGUAGCAAUGGGCAGAGUGAUAAUUAAAAGGAUUGCAGGAGGAGUUGAUAAGAAAUUGAGAAGCGAGCAAGCAGGUUUUCGCAGAGGAAAAAGCAAAACACAGCAGAUAUUUGUCCUGAGAAACAUGAGGAUAUGAAGCAAAGGAUUGGAAAAGCCUGUGGUGCAUUUAACAAGCUGUGUAAGAUAUGGAGGAGUGGACAAUUAACCCACAGAAUCAAAUUUCAAAAAGUCCAAUGUAAUCAGUGUUUAAUUGUAUGGAUGUGAAACGUGGAAGAUGAUGACUAAAGGUGAUGAGGAUAGACUAGACACCUACGCAUGGAAAGAAAUGACAUAACAUAGGCCUACCAAGAGUUGCUUUAAUAUGGACACUAGAGGGCAGAAGGAAUGUGGGAAGGCCAAGGAAAAAUUGGAGAAGAACUGUGGAAAAGGAAAGAAACCAAAAGGGAUACCAAACGUGGGCAGAGGCAGCAUUAGCAGCUCAAGACCGAGGAGCCUGGAUGAGGAGAGAUGCUAGAAGCCCUAUUCUCCACUCGGAGACAAGGAAAUAGUAGUAGUAGUAGUGGUAAACCGGAGGCAGAUAAAACAUAGGCCUGCCGUUUUGAUUUUGUUGUUGUUUUGUUUCUUCUUCUUUUCUUCCGAUAUUGUACAGACCACCAGAAAUGGUGUAUUACGUACAUCAAUACGUCUUCUCCUUAUAUUUACUACUGUUAAGGUUUCUGUACUUUUUCAGUAAGCCUAUGUUAUGGCGAUUACUAAUUAAAGUUCAAAUUAAUAGGCCUACAUAUCGACAAUUAAAUGUACACAUUAUCGUUUUAUCGGAUACGUGAAUUAUGACAUUCAACUUAUCAGUCAUCAGUUGAUAUGAUUAUAGCUAAAUUUUUAUUUUUUAAGACAAUGUGGUUUGGAAUUACUUCACUUUUAAUAACUCUAAACUGAAUUACAGUUAUGCCCUUGUUCCGUAUCCUACUUAAGCCUGGCGUGCGUCCUAUGCCCGCUGCGUGCCAAUAUGAGAAAGUGUAUUUUGAGUAGGUAACCGGUUAAUAAGGUCGUACUGUUAUUUCUUUUGUUUUUUGUUUUUUGUUUUGUCACAGAUAGUCGAGUGCCCUCCUGCGGUCAGACAUCGCUAUGAAGUGAUUUCCGGUAUGCGCAGGCGUACUGAAGUUUCUAAGCACGUCUCUCAGAAAAGUUAGCACGGCACGAUGAUAUGCGGUUGUUCCACCCAUUAGUCACUAGAAGUGUAGAUUGCGAACACGUCGGACUUCGUAAUUCUGAGAUACAAUGCUUUGAACCACGGAUUGGAAUAUGGUUAUUUUUCGAUUUUAAGGAUUUAUACGUGAAGGUUAUUUGAAGAGUAUUUCAACAUGAUAAUUGUUUGAGGAUCAGUUGUGUACAGGAGGGGGGUGAUACAUUUGAAUCUAAAUGACUUAAACCGGAUGAAUUACAUUAACAAUUGUCAAAAUAGGAUGUUUUGAACCUUUUAGUUGGUUACUACUGUACAACAUGGGGUUAAUAUGAAUGCUGAUCAGAAAAUCUAUGAGACUGAGAUUCAAGUCUGAACUGGAAUGACGAAGGCUGGUUUUAGUUAAAGAGAGCUGUUAACAAAAUACGGGACAAAGCAAUGAAUAAGAAGUAGCUGAAAAACAUGAAUUAUAAAGAGGUUAGUGUGGGCUUUGGAUGUGAGUCAUGGACAUUAAAGAAGCAGGAUAUUUAUAGACUGGAAGCGUUAAAUGUAUAAGCUGUGGUGAAGGUUGGAAAAGAUCAGACAUAACAGAGAGAAUCUUAUGUAUGAGGAAGUACUAACAAGGGUAGAGAAGAAUCCCGAUCUGAUGAUUUACAGUCGUCAUGAUGAGAAAGAAGAAAUGGAUUGGUUCUAGUUGUGGAAUAGAAUGAUAGAUGAAGGAUGUAGUUGAAAGAAAAGUGCAUGGAAUUAACCCAGAAAACUGUAGGCCUACACGUCAGUGAAAGAAAAGCAUUAAAUGGAAGGAGAUUGAAAAAGUUUGUGUGAAGAAUCUUCCUUACGUCGCACAGAACUCACGGUUGCAAAAAAAA
Molecule: long non-coding RNA, 2207 nt
Filed under: Anneissia japonica
Lineage: Eukaryota; Metazoa; Echinodermata; Crinoidea; Comatulida; Comatulidae
Description: uncharacterized LOC117119334
Source: RNAcentral